AGAGGACUAGGAAGAAACCACGAAAUUCAUAUGGAUUAGGUGAUAUUUUUUGUUAUUAACAUUUUGAAACGUAGUGUUUUGAGAAGACAUAGUGUUGAUUUUACCCAGCUUCUUCAAGUUUGCAUGGCGUGUGACAUUUGGAACCUCAUUAUGUUGUGAUUCUAGUUCAGCUACAUUCAAUUUGACCAAUCAUAGCCAAGCUUUUCAAGUGACGUCGAAGCAGACUCGAAGAGAUGAAGAUGCAGCCUUAGAAGUAACUGGGUGCAAUUGGCUGUUGCGUCACUCGCAUUGUGUUUUGGGCGGAGGUAGCCUACGUCACCACCACAUCAUUCCUGCUGGUAAGUCGCAUCAAAAAGUGGUCAUUAAAAAUGGAGUUUAUGUUUUAAAGUGCAAGGAUGGACUUUAAUACUGCACACAACAAGUUUACUUCACGUAUCUUUCAGUCGAGUCAAAUGUGUUUGUUAUUUGCGAUGGUGAAAUGUGAUGACUGUGUAUGUUAAUCUGCUUGUGAACUCCAAUUCUCUGUUGAUUCCAUUUAAGAUCUGUGAGCAAGAGCAACAUUUGAUGCGUGCACUGCCCACUAACCAGUUGUUGUUUGUUUGUCUCAGUUAUGUUUUUAUAUUCGAAUAUUUCAUGUUCUGUGUAUACAUGCCCUUGUGAAAAAAAAGUGCACUUUAGUGUA
Non-coding RNA from Pimephales promelas (fathead minnow), 682 nucleotides. Lineage: Eukaryota; Metazoa; Chordata; Actinopteri; Cypriniformes; Leuciscidae. The record is from RefSeq and is a predicted model, not a curated record.